CAGCCUGAAGCAGGUCCACCUGGUGUCCUUCCAGUGCAGCCCGCAUUCCACGCCACAGGGCAUCAUAGGCACCUUCAGGCAGUGCGCCCGCUUCCAGCAGGGGAAGGACCUGCGGCAGUACGUGUCCGUGGUGGUGCUCGACGAGGUGGGACUGGCGGAGGACUCGCCCAAGAUGCCCCUGAAGGCUCUGCACCCGCUGCUGGAAGACGGCUGCGUCGAAGACGACCCCGCCCCCCACAAGAAAGUCGGCUUCGUGGGCAUCUCCAACUGGGCCCUGGACCCCGCCAAGAUGAACCGCGGCAUCUUCGUGUCGCGCGGCAGCCCCAGCGAGCAGGAGCUCACGGAGAGCGCCAGGGGCAUCUGCUCUUCCGACAGCCUCGUUCAGGACAGAAUCCAGGGCUUCUUCGCACCCUUUGCCAGAGCCUACGAGACAGUGUGCGAGAGCCAAGACAAGGAGUUCUUCGGGCUUCGCGACUACUACAGCCUCAUCAAGAUGGUCUUCGCCGUGGCGAAAGCCUCCAACAGAAAGCCUUCCCCACAAGACAUCGCGCAGGCCGUCCUGCGCAACUUCAGCGGCAAAGACGACAUCCACGCUUUGGACAUCUUCACAGCCAGUUUGCCGGAGGCAAAGUGCUCGGAAGAAGUCAGCACUGUGCAGCUGAUCAAGCAGAACAUCUACGGGGCUCUGGAGAAGGUGCCAGGCAGAGGGCUGGACGACGUGGACUCCCGAUACUUACUCCUGCUCACCAAAAACUACGUGGCCCUGCAGAUCCUGCAGCAGACGUUCUUCAGCGAGGGCCAGCAGCCGGAGAUCAUUUUUGGUUCCAGCUUUCCCAAGGACCAAGAGUACACCCAGAUCUGCAGAAACAUCAACCGCGUGAAGGUCUGCAUGGAAACGGGCAAGAUGGUGGUGCUGCUGAACCUGCAGAACCUCUACGAGAGCCUCUACGACGCGCUCAACCAGUACUACGUCUACCUCGGGGGGCAGAAGUACGUGGACCUGGGUUUGGGGACCCAUCGUGUCAAAUGCCGGGUUCACCCAGACUUCCGCCUGAUAGUCAUCGAAGAGAAGGAGGUUGUGUACACUCGCUUCCCCAUCCCCCUCAUCAACCGGCUGGAGAAGCACUAUCUGGACCUGAGCACCGUGCUGGAGAAAUGGCAGAAGAGCAUCGUGGACGAGCUCGAGACGUGGGUGGCGAAAUUCGUCCACGUGAAGACGGAUCUGUUGCAAGCCAGACACAAGUACAGCCCUUCCGACGUCUUCAUCGGCUACCACUCGGACACCUGCGCCUCGGUGGUGCUGCAGGUCACAGAGAGGCAAGGCCCCAGGGGCCCGACCGAGGAGCUUUACCAGAAGGUGUCCACGGAGGCAAAACUGACACUGCUGGAUUGCGCCACCCCCGACGCUGUGGUGCGGCUGAGCGCCUCCUCGCUGGGCUUAUUCGCGGCCGAGUCCCUGUCCCGGGAAUACUACCACACCCAGCAGCACGACCCCUUCGCGGAUUUCCUGUGGGCUCACCUUGAAGCGACAAGCCAGGAAAGCCAUGCCGUCUUCACGGAGGUCACCACUUUCUCCAGACUGCUGACGAGUCACGACUGUGAAGCCCUGGCGUCGGAGCUGGCAGGCAGGGCCGCGAAACCCACAGUCCUGUGGCUGCAGCACUUCUACACGGAGCAGUCCUUCCUCAAGGCGGUCCGAAACGGCUUAACUUGUGCAGCCGGAUGCAAAAUCCUCAUUAUUCAGACAGAUUUUGAAGACGGAGUUCACAGUGCUCAGCUCAUUGCCUCGGCUAAGUAUUCUGCUGUAAACGAAAUCAACAACAUACAAGGGAACGAGGGCUGCGUCUUAGUCUAUUUCAUCACAAAACUGUCCCGGAUGGGAAGCGGGGCAUCCUAUGUGGGAUUCCAUGGAGGGCUGUGGCGGUCUGUGCACAUCGACGACCUCCGGAGAUCCACAGUCAUGGUUUCGGACGUGACGAGGCUGCAGAGCGUCACCGUCAGCCAGCUGUUCGAGCCGGGAGAGCAGCCGGAGCUGGCGAUGGGAUGCGGGGCAGAAGAUGACAGAGAGGAGGCAAUGGAAACAGAGAGUAGCAGAUCCGGGGAAACGGCAGACGGGGACAUGGAAACAGGAAGUUCUGGGAGUACGGAAGAUGAAACCUCCCAGACGGGAGGCCGUGAUGCGCAGGUCCUGGACACCACGCGGCUGCUGAGGAGCUGCGUGCAGAGUGCCGUGGGGGUGCUCAGAGACCAGAGUGAGAGCUGCGGGCGCAACAUGCGGAGGGUGGAGCUUCUGCUCAGCCUCUUCAGCGAAGACAGCGAGCGCAGCGCGUCUUUCCUGCGCGUGUCCAAGAUGCGCCUCCACGAUCUUUUAAAGAAGCAAGAAGAGAGCCACCUCCCCAGCCUGAAGCAGUGGGUGUCUCGGGAGGCUUCGAACCAGGACGCCCUCCAGGAGGCGGGCACGUUCAGGCAAACCCUCUGUGGAAGCGAGUCCAGCGGGCUGUCACGCCUCUCCUGGCACGAGUGAUAUCGUUCAUCGACAGAGACGGAAACCUCGAGCUCCUGGCCAGGCCAGAUUCUCCGCCCUGGGCAAGAGACCUUUGGAUGUUUAUUUUCAGUGACACUAAGCUUCUGAACAUUCCCCUUGUGAUGAAUAACGCAAGGUGAAUAGAAGACUUUGUUUUUAUGGGAAGGGGAAAAAAUCAUAAAAUAGUAGCACUUUUAAUAUGUUCUCCCAGCUGUUUGAUAAAACACAGAUACUGCCUUUAGAAUGACAUUUGUGGGCUCCUCUUGCUGCGUAGAGGAUCAGGCGUUGCAAAAGAAGUUCACUGAGGUUCUGAGGAAUCCUCGUUCCUCGCCACCACCUCAUUUCCCGCUUUCCCAGCGCCCACUCUAGCUGAAAUAGCCCNNNNNNNNNNNNNNNNNNNNNNNNNAAAAAACUCACACGUGUGAGGAGAACAUCCUGAGAAGCCAUAUCACUAGAGGUGAAGGUAUUCUUAGGGAUAAGAAAAUACCCUAACUUUAAAAAUGGGUAAUAGUUAUAGAAGCACUUUUAACAGAAUAAUCAUAUUAAUAUCAACAUGCAGAGAACACUUGAAAUUGCUCAGCCUCACUAGUAAAUCAACGAAAUGUAUAAACAAUUUUGAGACUAUUUUUACCUACUCAUUUGGCAACACGGAGUUUUUUUUUGUUUGUUUUUGAGACAGAGUCUUGCUCUGUUGCUCAGGCUAGAGUGAGUGCCAUCAGCCUAAGCUCACAGCAACAUCAAUUUGCUAAGCUCAAGCAUUCCUUCUGCCUCAGCCUCCCAAGUAGCUGGGACUACAGGUGUGCACCAUCAUGCCAGGCUAAAUUUUUUAUUUUUAUUUUUUUUUUAGUUGUCCAGCUAAUUUCUUCAUAUAUUUUUAGUAGAGACUAAAAGGUCUUACUCUUUCUCAGGCUGGUCUCGAACUCCUGAGCUCAAACGAUCCGCCUGCCUCGGCCCCCCAGAGAGCUAGGAAUCCAGGUAUGAGCCACCGCGCCUGGCCAGCAACACCGAGCUUAAAGGAGGAGGGCAGCGAGCGCUGCAGAGAAAGGCGGUGGCUGCUCUGGACCCGCCCGGCGGGGCGCUGCCGCUACCUCACAGAGCCUGAACGUCUCACUCUGUCCUAAGAAAAUUACUGGACACAUGCACAGAUAUUUUAUUCAUGGGAAUGUUCUUUUCAAAUUUGUCUCAAAAAUUAAAAAUUAGAAACCAUUGUUCAAAAAUAAGAGAUGGACAAAUUAAAAUAUAGCAAUUCAUUCAGUGGGUUAUUAAGCAGCCAUUAAAAACGAUGCUUUCAAGCACGCUUAGUAACAGAGAGCAGAGUAAUAGACUGACACAGAGAAGCGUCCGUAACGCAACGAGCAGCGGGAAACAUCAGGACGACGCCGUGACCCUAAUUGGGAAGGACAGGGAGGGGAGGCAGACGUAAAACUGGCCAGAAGGAGCCACACCAGACAGCAAACGGGAUGCUGACACUAAGCGUGACCUCCA
Microcebus murinus (gray mouse lemur) is the source of this 4009-nucleotide long non-coding RNA. Lineage: Eukaryota; Metazoa; Chordata; Mammalia; Primates; Cheirogaleidae. The record is from Ensembl.